AUGAGAGAAUCUCCGGCGGGCGACCGGCUGAGCAACCUGCCGGACUGCCUCCUCCACAGCAUCCUGUCCCGUCUCAACUGUCGGCAGGUGGUGCAGACCCUAGCGCUCUCGCGGCGAUGGCGACACCUCUGGCUCGACGUGCCGUGCCUCCACAUCGACACCCGAGAGUUCCGGAUCCGAUCUGCGCAUGAAAACCAGCACCAACACGGGAACAGGAUCGAGCAGCAGAAGGAGCGGGAGGUGGAGUUUGGCAAGUUCGAGGACUUCGUCGACUACCUCCUGUUCCACCGCAGCGCCGCCAGGUCGACGCUGGAUACCUUGCGGCUGCACAUCCAUGACAACUUUGGCCGGAUCACGACCUACGGCCGGUGGGUUCGCCGCGGCCUCAGGUGCUCCCCGGAAACGCUCGACGUCUCCCACGGCGGAGAGCGCGAAGUUGUCGUGUUACCUCCGCUGUCUUCCUCCUCCGGUGCCCAUCGCCUCACAAAGCUACGCCUUGUUCGCGUGCUCCUCCCCUGGAAUUUCGAGGAGCUGCUCAGCUCGGGCCUUCCCGUCCUGGAAGACCUGGAGAUCAGGAGCAGCUCGUUGCACGGGGUCUCCGGUAUCGCGUCCACCAGUCUCAAGAACCUCAUUGUCGACCCCUACAGCUGCACUGCAGACUAUGGCAACCUGAGCACCGCCUUUGCUGUGGUCGUCCCACGCCUCGCCUCUCUGCACCUCGGCCUUGAGCAAUGCGGCAGCUACAGGAGCCAACGGUACCGUGAUAUCACCGUGGCGCCUUCUCUUCUUCUCCAAGCAUCCAUCCGCCUCUCAGCCAAGAUGGAUGAUGAGAAACCGGAGGUGGCUGCAUACUUGCUAACAACCUUGUGCAAGCUUCUCAGCUCUCUAUCCAACGUUAGUAGAUUGGAGUUGUCAGGCUUCCAGAAAACAAUGGUAGCCAAGCGCACGUCACAUGCACCUCCUCCGUCUGCAUAUCCUGGGUCUCCAUUUUGGACAGCUCCCCAUCCUUUUCAGGGGACCGCGGCGGCGAUACUUGUGGCGAUACUAGACAAGGAUCAUUAUGGCUUACCAGUAUUCGAUAACCUAAGAACCCUUAUCUUUGAUAAAUGUGUGAUGGGCAACAUCAUCAACACAUUACGUCAUUUUCUGACAUACACCCCUGUCAUCGAGAAGCUUCUUGUGCAACAUUGCAAGUUUGUGGUUUCUUCGGAAGAGAAGAAGCAACAAGAGAGCCGAAAGCUGAGUGCAGCCUCCAGCCUGAAGCUAGUAGAAAUUAAGUACAUAGAUGAUGAUCGUCAUGACGACCGUCUAGGAAGAGGACAAGGUACUCGACGCAUCAAUAAGAUUUUGCCCAUGCUAGAAGAGAUGCUGCCGGCAACCACCAUUAUCCGAGCUACCAGAGAUGAAAAAAACGCAUCCAUGGCCUGGAAUGAGCCAUGGAAUGUCGACUCCUCAAGCGACAGCGACACCAGCAGUCCCGCUUUAAGCGAGGAUUUGGGUACGCCGCCACUGCCCGACACCAGCAGUCCCGCUUUAAGCGAGGAUUUGGGUACGCCGCCACUGCCCUUCGUCCCUUACACUUUGGACGACUUCAACUUUAUCAAGGUCAUCGAAGGGACAAAGGAGACCGACUCAGAGUUGGAGUAUCCCAGGUUAGAGGAGGAGUUGGACAAGGACAACGACGACCAUCCGAUGGUCAGCAGCAAGCGUCCUCGCCCAGAUGAUGACCCGGAUGGGGCAUCCAAGAAGAAGAAGGACUAG
This 1761-nucleotide ribosomal RNA is filed under the name Triticum aestivum (bread wheat). RNAcentral describes it as "partial small subunit ribosomal RNA". Lineage: Eukaryota; Viridiplantae; Streptophyta; Magnoliopsida; Poales; Poaceae. The record is from RNAcentral.